This 253-nucleotide ribosomal RNA is filed under the name uncultured bacterium. Its description in RNAcentral is "partial 16S ribosomal RNA". It matches the Rfam family "Bacterial small subunit ribosomal RNA", at positions 524 to 776 of the family's 1533-position model. The record is from RNAcentral.
UACGAAGGGUGCUAGCGUUGUUCGGAAUCACUGGGCGUAAAGCGCGCGUAGGCGGCUUUUCAAGUAAGGGGUGAAAUCCUGAGGCUUAACCUCAGAAUUGCCUUUUAAACUGUAAAGCUAGAGUGUCGGAGGGGAUAGCGGAAUUCCUAAUGUAGCAGUGAAAUGCGUAGAUAUUAGGAGGAACACCGGUGGCGAAGGCGGCUAUCUGGACGACAACUGACGCUGAGGCGCGAAAGCGUGGGGAUCAAACAGG